CUCUAGACUAUGUUAUAAAGUUUUUUGAAAUGUGCUUUAUUUUCAUGGAUGGAAUAGAAUUAAAGUCAAAAGCAUCUGGGAAAUAGCUUUCAGCCUGGUGUGUUAAAGCAGUCAGAGACCAAAUGUAACCACAAACCAAAAAAUCUCUAAGAGGCUUUAGUAACUAACACAGGAGGUGGUUUACACUAACCCUUUUACUUUGGAUAGACACUGAUUAAAAGCAGUCAGACCACUCACUGCUAAGGGAAUGAUGGCUCACAUUAAAACCUCUGCAGGUGUCACAGAAUGCAAGUAUGACUUUACAAACCAACAGAGCUUAAAAAAGGUAAUUACUAACAAAUUCAUAAAAGACAGUAAGUGUUAAGGGCAGGGUAUUAGACCCAGGCAGGAACUGUAUGUAUAUACGGUGAGUAACCAGAUAUGUAAGGAGAAGUAAAAAAUAGGUGUCUACUUUUAUUCAGGGUUUGAUGAGUGAAAUUUCAUUUCCUUCUCUACUUAUAGUAAGGGCUACAGAUUAAGAGUUUACAGAUUUCUGUGAAACCAGGUAUACCACUCAAACUCAUUGUGGCUUUAGAAUCAGUCUUCAUUAUUUGGGGCCAAAUCCUUAGGAUAAAUUAUAUAAUUUUACACCUUGAGAAGUAAAAACUGUGGAACUCUCAAAUUUUGAACUCCUGAUACCAGACACAGAAUAUGAAUUUAUGAGUAUUCUAGAAGACUAUUUUAAUAUCUAGGCAGUAAUUUAUGGAUAGAUUUAAAAAUAGUUUCUUUCAGCUCUUAAAUCCUACUUGAUGCUGCUUUUGUGCACAAACCUGUUUGCUUAUUCAUCCCCACUGUCCUGUCCCUUAACAGGUCUGGAGACUGUUACUCUCACCCCCUCCAGUCCCUCCUCAAGAAUUCUGUCUUCCAUGCUGUCUGUGUGACACUAAACAACUGAUAAAGGAUAGACUCAGGCUGCUGAACAGUACUGAUGUGUAUUCAUUUGAAAAGACAUACAAAAAUAACGUUAACAUCUAACAUAUAUACAUGUAAAUGUAAAAAUGUAUCCCAUUCCUUCCAUAUACUGAAAUUCUUUAGAAAAAUAUAGAGCAAGAGCUGACAAGAGCUAUGUAUCACAACUCU
This 1119-nucleotide long non-coding RNA is filed under the name Strigops habroptila (Kakapo). RNAcentral describes it as "lncRNA (ENSSHBG00005002821.1)". The record is from RNAcentral. Lineage: Eukaryota; Metazoa; Chordata; Aves; Psittaciformes; Psittacidae.